UCUAUUUUUAAAAGGCAGAUGAUUGUACAGCAUGUAGGAAUUGAUGAUGAUUUUUAAUAAUCCUAAAGUAAUAGUAAAGUCAACAAUAAAGUAUAUUUUGAUGUAUAUAAUUUUCAUCAAUGAUUACAUAAAAUUGCACUUUGAUAUAAAGUAUGCUUGGAUUGUUUUCAUGUAUGCUAUAUAUUAUUGCAAAUUAGUUCUUCAUAAAAUUGUAUAUUUCUGCUGUGAAAAAGUAUGUAUGCAAUCAUGCAAGUUGUAGGAAAACAUGUACGUGUACUGCACAUGUACCAGGACGACAAGAUAACAAUUAUGACUGUCAAUCAUCAUUUGCUGACUGUAUCUGUCAAGCUGACUACACAGACUAUAGUAGCCAAAGAUAAGUUGUAGAAAGUGUGUUUCAGAGUUGAAUAUAUGAAUUAAAGCAUUGGCACAGUGAAUGGCAGCUGAAAAAUUUUGACCCUUGUUUCUGGAAGUGAAAUGUUAGAUGGUUUGAUGAAGUGCCACAGAGAUUAUCGCUUAAAGAAUGCGUGCAGGCCAACCACCAACACAAGAUAUUAAAAGAGCAAUGAAAAUGAAGAUUUAACUAUAAAGAAAAAUCUGACUAAUAUUAUUACUCAUAACACUUAAUUGUUUCGUAUUAUUGUAAAUUUAUGCGAGUUUUCCUGUAUUCUGUUUAUUUUGCAACUUAUGUUAUUGUAAAUUCAUGUAUGUUUUCAUUCUUGCUCUGUCAUGCAUUUCAUACUAAUUGUUUGUUGUGCAUAUUAAUUAUAUGUGUAUAUUACUUCAUUGAAUUACUGUAUUUGAAUUUUAAUAAACCUUUUUACCAUUCA
RNAcentral lists this long non-coding RNA (830 nucleotides) under Stegodyphus dumicola. RNAcentral's name for it is "uncharacterized LOC118194965, transcript variant X2". Lineage: Eukaryota; Metazoa; Arthropoda; Arachnida; Araneae; Eresidae. The record is from RNAcentral.